This is a long non-coding RNA of Daktulosphaira vitifoliae (grape phylloxera), 627 nucleotides long. RefSeq lists it as uncharacterized. NCBI's taxonomy places the organism in Eukaryota, Metazoa, Arthropoda, Insecta, Hemiptera, Phylloxeridae. The transcript is spliced from 3 exons. The record is from RefSeq and is a predicted model, not a curated record.
GAUGUUUGUAAAUGUUUUUAUCGUUAGACUUUUUUGCCACGCAGUUAACGGCAAUAAUCGAUAAUGAACUGAUAAAUAUAAAAUUCAAGGUUUGCUUCGACCCCGAAGCUACGUUAUAUUAUAUAAUAUUAAAAUACUGCACCUUUCUCACCACUCAAUUGCAUACGAAACUUAAGCAAAUCCAAUGGAUGCACCAUAGCAGAAGCUGCCAUACUGAAAACAUUGAAUUUAAAUAUUUGCGAAAAUUCGUACUACUUUAUCACAACGACCAUGAGAGUCUUUAAAUUCUCUUUUUAAAUUAUUACAAUAAUUAAUACUAUGAUGUCGUCUUUGGCCUACCCAGAAAGUCCAGCAAUAAUAAACUGCACAGGAGAAGUAAAGAUCUUGCGACCAAUGAGUUAAAAAGUUUAACUGGUUCAUUAAAAAAAUCAAUGGAAAACGUUUUUGAAAAAAAAUUGAGCUUGUCCGAAAUAAUAUUAGAUAAGAAUGAUGAAAAAGUGAGACCAAAUAGUUUAACAUCUUUAACAGAAAUUUUGAAAAAGUCAAGAAUAGACAAAAAUAAUUGUUUAGAAAAAUAGAAUGAUCCUAAGCAAGCUUUAAACCUAAUCAACUCCAUGAAAUGUUCAA